This 683-nucleotide non-coding RNA is filed under the name Smittium mucronatum. RNAcentral describes it as "Eukaryotic small subunit ribosomal RNA". It matches the Rfam family "Eukaryotic small subunit ribosomal RNA", at positions 52 to 676 of the family's 1831-position model. The record is from Rfam by way of RNAcentral. Lineage: Eukaryota; Fungi; Kickxellomycota; Harpellomycetes; Harpellales; Legeriomycetaceae.
UGGGUGGGUGGGCCUGCCGACUAAUUCCGGUCAUUUCUAUACCCAUCAAGCUUUUCCAUUUGUCCGUUCGCGUUUUUUUUUUUUACUAGGAUUUAUCAGCUAUAAUUUAUUUGAUGAUACCUUUUUACUACUUGGAUAACCGUGGUAAUUCUAGAGCUAAUACAUGCUGUAAACAACUCCAACUUUUGGGAAGGAGGGCAUUUAUUAGAUACAAAACCAAUGGGGGCAACCUCUUAAUUGGCGAUUCAUAAUAACUAAGCAUAUCGCAUUUAUACACUCUUUCGGGGGUGUGGCGAAGGAUCAUUCAAAUUUCUGCCCUAUCAACUGUCGAUGGUAGUAUAGAGGACUACCAUGGUGGCAACGGGUAACGGGGAAUUAGGGUUCGAUUCCGGAGAGGGAGCCUGAGAAACGGCUACCACUUCUAAGGAAGGCAGCAGGCGCGCAAAUUACCCAAUCCUGAUACAGGGAGGUAGUGACAAUAAAUAACAAUCCAGGGCUAAUUUUUAGUCUUGGAAUUGUAAUGAGUACAAUCUAAACCUCUUAACGAGGAACAAUUGGAGGGCAAGUCUGGUGCCAGCAGCCGCGGUAAUUCCAGCUCCAAUAGCGUAUAUUAAAGUUGUUGCAGUUAAAAAGCUCGUAGUUGAACUUUAGACCUUUUCGGGAGGCUGGCAAAAAAUUAAGGG